RNAcentral lists this long non-coding RNA (10530 nucleotides) under Gallus gallus (chicken). The record is from RNAcentral. Lineage: Eukaryota; Metazoa; Chordata; Aves; Galliformes; Phasianidae.
UUUCCCCUGAACUUUUAAAUGCUUUCAGAAGCGCUGCCUUGUAGCCUUAGACAAUGCCACUGACCCUUUUACAAGUCACUGUACACACUGAAGAGUGAAACUUUAUACACAGUUAAAAUGAAGCUUUUUGGCCAGGUUUUGACAGCUGUUAUUCUAAAACAAUGUUUUGGCUCUGAUCAAAAAUAUGACUUUAUUUCCUUUUGGGUUUCUACCAGAAGCCAUAUGACUCUUAGAUAGAUGUGGAGGAGGGGUGAGAGCAAGAAACUCUUUCAGCUGCUUUCCCAGUAAAGCUCGGACUGUGCAAAAGGAAAUGACAAAGAAAUUGAAUUUAUCUAGGACACUGGUAUAUGAUCGGUAGUCCCUAAUUUACUAUUUGAAAAGAGGUGAAAAUCAUGCACUGCACAUUUAUUACUAAAGGUGAGAUCCUGAACUGUAAAACUAGGAGAUAAGACUGCACUUUGAUUUUCUGCUCUUCUCUGAAAAAUGUAUUCAUGUGCACAGUAGUGUUUAUAUUGUUUUAAAAGAUGGCAUUUGAAUCACCUGUGGGCUCAUGAAAGUCCCAGGUGGAUCUAAGGCAGGUGGGGGGCAAUCUUUGCCCUUAUAAAUGUUAUAUUGCUAGCUUAUAUUACUAACUUACCUUAGUGGGGCCCCAGCUUGGCUUUUGACCACAGGCAAUUGCUGCGGUUCCUUUUGCUAAAAACUGUUCUAGUUAGAAAUCCUAUCAGGGAAUUUGAGAGGUGGUCCAAGCACGUCCAUGCUGAGAGGGCUGAGCCAAUGCUUCCUGAAUCUUUAAGAGCUCUGAAAGGCAGCAGCAGCAGCAGUGGGAGCAUGCAUGUCCAAAAGGUGAGACGAGCUGAGAGGCCUCUGAACACUCACCAGCUUUCACCAGAAAACCAUUACUGGCUGCAGCAGGUGGUAGCUUGGAAGUAGAUAAAUUAUUUCUCUGAGAAUUAAAAUGAAGUAGUUAAGUACAGUGUUGGUUGGGAUUUACAGAGGUGUGGGGAAAUGAAGUUUAGUACCUUUUGAGGUAUAACCUGCACUAGGCAAGACAGAUUCAAAAUUCCCUUCAAAGGCCAUUUUAAGGAUUGAGCAAAAACUUUCAGUUUUGGCUUGAGUCUGAACUCUGAUCUUUUUGAGAACUGUCGCUACCAAGCUUUGUCAGGAUUGUAACUGCUUCACUACCUAGAUGAAUUCUGACCCCAAAUACUGCUGAAGGGAGUAAUGCUACGUGAGCACUAACUUUUGCACAUUCUUCUUUCACUUAAACAUGUCAGUCUUUAAAUUAUCCACUUUUGUGAUGAGCAAAUAAAUUCCGGAUAUAGAACAUGGAAUAUGUGUAAACACACAUCCUUAGAAAAUGUAAUAGAACAAAUAAAUAAACCAUUGGUUUCUCUGCAGUAGGUUGCCAGCAGGGCAUCCUUUUUAAAAACAGUGUCCAUGUAUGUUGUUUGAUAUGUAUGUGUAUGUCAAUAUAUGGAUUUAUAACUUGAAAACUGGAUUUUAGGAGAAGUUAUCUUUUUCAAGUCAUAACAAAAGUGAAGAAUUGAAAACCAUAGGCAGAGGGGAUGCAUGUGACAGCUGUUAAAAACAUUUACCUGCAUGGAUUAUAUGAGCUAAUUAGCAUUGCCAAGGUCAUGAUGAGUACUUGAAUAACUGUUUAUCCCUAAAGGUGGUUUGUGUGACUGAGCAGAUGUGCAUCAUAUUCAAAGAAAAGCAUACUAAUUUAUAAAUUUUGAAAGAGUAAAAUAGGUAUGCAAUUUCACUGAAAUUCAAGCAUAAUUCAAAAUCCAUGAACAAUUUUUCUUUCAUCUUCUCAGUGGAGCCUGUUAAUAUUCUGGAAAAAAAAAAAUCUUAUGAACCUAAAGCUUCAAUGGUUUAAAAUAUCCUGCAGUAUUAGGAUGUUUUCUGUUUAGUUCUUUGCCUCUUAAACUUACAGAAAACUAAAUACAUAAAUUAAAGCAAUGAAAAUACAUCCAAUUUAUCCACUUAAUAUAUACCAAACCAAUUAACCAAUAUAUUUUAUGAAAGAAUAGAUAAUAAAAAUAUUAUAAAGGAAAUCAAGAUAAUUUUUCACCUAGAUUUUCAUGUGUUCUUUGCAUGCCAGAAAGCCAAUGGUAUGUCUAUACUUUCAAAUAUGGCUUUAGGAGCAAAUAUUCUUAAAUCUUUAUCUUCUUUCCACAGAAGUCAUGUAUUACAGAUAACAUGUCCCUCCACAUAUACGCGCAUGUAACCUAGGAUCUAAUUUUUACAUAACAUGUAGGUAAAUUUAUCUUUUUAUUGCUUUAAUAAGUUGGAGACCAAGAGCAUAGUUGCACAUGAGUGAGGGAAGUUUUAUUCUAAGUUUACAAACUGAAAGAUUUAGGCAAAUAUAUGUAUAUCCAUUUUUGUAAGUUGAGAAUAAUAGUUCAUGUUUAUGUAACUACCUGUAAAUAAAUGAUAUUCUAUUUCCAUUAUUUUUGCAAAAACUGAAAAUUAUGAUGCUAUCCAGGCCUGACAUCUAUGUAAUUCAGUACUUUAACUCCAAUGGUAGAAACUUCAUGACAGUCAUGAGAAAAAGUUGCUGAAAACUCCAUGUAACUUAUUACAUAAGUUAAAUUCCACUCUUAUCUCUGUUACUCAUUGCAACAAUUAAACAAAUAAAAAUGUAAUUAAAGGCACAAAAUACAACUUUGCUCCUAAACAUAAUCAGAUUUUAACAGUUUUUCCUGCUAGUCCUGUGAACUGAUAAACUCUUGUAUUCUUGACUUUCUUUGUAAAAAAAUGUCUGAGUUUUCUCUCUGUUCUUUUAAGACAAUAUUAAUUAUUUUCACUAGAUAUUACAGCAAUCUAAACCAGCUAUAUUCUUCACAUAUUUCAGUUAAAAAAUAAUAAUAAAAUAAAGUAGAUAUGUAUUUCUGUUCUCUUCAAGCUAUUUUGUAACUAUUGUGAUAGCAGAGAUCAUAAUGAAAUUUCUCUUAAUAAUGUAAUUACAGUAUCAUGACUUUAUUUUAAGAUACCUGGAGCAUUUUAUAAAAUUCUUGAACAGGAAAGAAUUGUUAAAACAGUUAUUCUAAAAAAAAAAAAUGUUGAAAACCUUACAGUUUCGUAAACACAUUAUUCAUCCUGCAAAGAUUACUUUGGUUUUUUUUCAAAAUAUCUAAGAUAAUAGGAGCCUGUGGCACUGGUUGAACAGUACAGGUAGAGUUACUUCUGCCUUUUUUAAAAUUGACCUUUAAGAUGUGGAGGUCAAAACACUGUCCUAAGGAGACAGGAGUGAUUCAGUGUUCUGUCCUAAGUCUAUUUAUCCAUACAGUAUGUAGAAAUUGGGGAAUUAAUGACAUAGAUCUAUGACCUGUAUCUAUAUUCAGGUUACAGAGCACUUUUGGCAUAGGAGGAAGGGAAAAAAAAAGAAAAAAAAAUACAUUGGUCUUUCUUUUAAUUAUGUAUUUGUACUCUGUCAAGUCUGAAAUGAGAAACAACAUUUUGAGGUAAAUGACAGAAACAUUUGAUUUCCUGGCAAAUCUAUCUGCCAACAUACCUUGAAAAUGAGCCUUGUGUGGAUUCUAGAGUAACACUGAGUCUAUCAUCCUCCUGAAGAGAGGCUGCUGAUGCCAUUCCAAAAGUUUAUCAAACAUUUCCUUAAAUAUAUAUGUUAGGUGAUAUUAUUAAAUGUUAACCACAAUGAAUGCAGAGGAUAAGGGGAGCAACGUGAGAAGGAGCAUGGAGGGCCCAGUGAUGUCUACACAACAGAUACCACACCUUGACAUGUUCACUCCUAGGACUCAAAGGAGAAUGAUGACUAUUGCCCUGGUGGGAAAGCCACAGACAGGAGUCAAGGGAACACCAUGCAGACUAAAGAGGCAUUUUCUGUGUGGAUGCACUCUCUAUUCUGGACAUGUGUGAAUAUUAACAAACUAUAAGUGAUACAAGCUGGUGUAGGACAAGGUGAAUGUCAGCAACUGAAGUGGGUCUUCAAGGGCUCAUAGGUUCAUGGGCCAACAACUAAACAGAAUAGACAACCAAGGCCUGCUGCUGAAAAUAUUCAUCUAUUUGCAUACAUAGUCUAUUAUUAAGAACUUCAGUCUUGAUCAACAGAGAAUAGGAUGGUGCCAUUUCCACUCUUCAGUUUUGUGUGAUGGCUGCUGAUGUCUUUGUGUGUAUGUGUGUGCACUUACUGAGAAUACCAGCCCUAGUUCAGGAACCUGAACUUCAGCUUCACAUCUGUGGAUCCAGGACAGGACAGGAAGGAUCUUCUUGAGCCUCAGUCCCAUGGGAUUUAGUUAUCUCUAACCAAUGGUAAAGAUGCAACCUCCGGGCAUUCUGUUACUGGCCUUAAGUGUCUCUUAUCUGAGAGACUUGUCUUUAUUCAUUUAUAUAUACAGUUGAAGAUGGCUAUUCCUUAUUCUGUCCACUAUGGACAUGAGUACAGAUCAUUCCUGUUCUGAUCCUACUUUCAUCUGGCAGGGAACAUCGAGUGGAGACAGGCCAUUCUGGAUACCAAUGUGAUUUAUGUAAAUACACAAAGACUGUAGUAGUUAACUGAAAUGAUCCAUAAUGCUCUCCAGAAUUCUGUUGUAAAUUUUAUGAUAUUUAAUGUUUUCCAAUGCACUCUCAGCUUCACAUUGUGUAAAUCUGAUAGACUUAGACCUUGUUAUUUCAACUAUUACUAAAUACGUUGAACAGGCCUGGACUGAGGACCAAGUGAAACUCCAUCUGUUACAUCUGUCCAUUCUGGUAGUCAGUCAUUCCCAGAUGCUCUUCAGGUUCGCAUAUCCAGAAAGGUUUUCCACAGCAGCCAUUUCAUCCAGAUCAGAGAUCUCUGACUUGACUAUCAGAAAGAUACCUGAGAGAAUAUCAAAAACCCUAUUAAAGUGAAGAUGUAUGACACUGCUGCUUCUCCUUUCCUGCCUCUGUCCCCUUACAUUCUCAUGGAGAGAAGUUAGAUUAAUUUGAGAAAAUAUGUUUUUGACAAAUCUGAGUUGGCUACUAUACAACUCCUUUUUGUUAUGUUAACAGCUGUUACACUACAUAUGACCCCAGGUCGGGGAGAUCUUUUAUAAGCCAAUCAGCCCGACAGGACUGGGAGGAACAGCUCUGCAAUUCGGUCUGCAAUUUGACUAGCACCUUCAUACACUUCAUCAAAGAGUGUCUGGUGUAGCAUCCAAAUCACUCUAUAAGUGAGGCAUACAUUAAUGAAGUAUUUUACAUAUGUGUUGCAACUGCAGGAAAAUAACACUUUGGUUAAGAAGCAGAGAUCUGUAUGAAAGUGAACAUGUGGUAACAUUGGAUUGCUUCUAAAUCAAUAAAAAAAAAAAUCCCACAUAAGAGUGUAAUGUUGCAAUAGCAGCAGUUACUGAUGCUUAGGAUCAUUAGAUUUUAAUCAGCUUUCUGGCAAACAUCCUGAUUAAGUGUAUCAUUUAAUUAAAUGAAUUCCAGUCACAAUUUUUUUUAUUGCAAGUUUGCAGAGUACCUCUUAAUUUCUCUAUCGUUUCUGCUAUCAUUUUAAAAUCUCCCCCAGUAAUUGUAUGUUUCAAUUCUGAAAAAUGGUUCUAGCAUGCAAUUUAUUAGAAAGAUGUAAAAAUAAAUUGUAAUUGAAAUCUGCUACUGCAGAGGAAGGCUUCUAUAAUUUACUUGCUGAAUGAGGCCUAGGAAACACAGAUUUAAUUCUUCCCUCCACUACCAACUUUCUCAUAUAAUUAAUGCAAAUGAGCUGUCAGGGCCUCAAGUUACUGUGAUUUACUAUAUUCAGAAAGCUUCAUGCUAAUGGAAGGUUAGUACCAUAUGCUUACGAUGACUGAGGAAAGAAAGGUAAACUUGUUUGUGGAAAGUAUUUUGCCUAGGGUAGACAGAUGUAUACUUCCUGCAGGGCUGUGUUUUGUUCAGUCUCACUAUGUCCCAAUGUCUAACAAAGUUACUGAAAAAGAUGGAGCUGAGGAUGUGCUGACAAAUGUAAUUGUUGUUUGCCAUUCAUUUUCUCUGGAACAAAAAGUAAGAAGCAGGCUAAUUGGUUCAACAUGAAUUCUCAUUCUUUAUGUGAAGGAUUUUGAGGUUACUCUUUCUUGAUUGGCAUUAUUAUUCUUUGAUUUUUUUUUAAUUUUAUUUAUUUAUUUAUUUGUUUGUUUGCUAGGACAGUGGUAUAACACAAUCACUGACAACUGGUGUUCAAAUUUCAUCUAGCUUCAUUAACUUUUGUGGGAAAUUGCAGUUGAUGAUGUAAUGCAAAGUUAUUCUACUUCACUCCAGCAUUCAGAGGCAAACAUAUUGGCACUAUAGGUAAAGAAAUUCACACACAAGGUUGUUCUCACAGCUUGAUCUCUCACAACUUUGAAAAUAAAAAUAAUGGAAGAGGAGAAAGAAAAAGUAUUUAUGUUUAAGCAUUUCUUACAUGUACUAAACAAUUUGAUUAUUUUUUUCUCAAUUUCUCAUGAAAAAGAUGGACAUUGUUUAUUCAGUUUUUAGUAAUAACUAUUUUCCACAAAGUUUAAGUUUCGUCAUGAAAGCAAAAAUCAACUCCUGGCUAACAGUUUUCUAGCUAUGAAAUUAAAGUUUCCACAUUUAAGGAGGUUUUAUUGAAGUUAUGGGACAUAGGGAAAGAAUUAAAAAAUUAUGUUCUGAUUACACUAAUAUGUUCAGUGGGCAUACCCAAAUCUUCCUCUUGAACAGAUUCACUAAAAAAUGUUCUGCCUAGAUCUGAAAGAACUGAGAAACAUAAACAAGUAUUGAAAGAAGCAAAUGAGUUCUGGUCAUGAUCGAUGCAGUCUGAAGAAUUCAUCAAACUAUCCCAAGACUUAAAUCAGCUGAAACUUGAGAAAACUACAAAUAAAUGUUUAUCUGAUGAACUGUUUACUGUGAAAUACUUUUGUACUUGAAACUCACUUCUAGAUCUCUUCAUCUGCUAAUACUUCAGCUGUUUGUCUUUCUUCUUUUAUUGUUUGUCUCUCCAAGUCAAGUCAACAUGUUGUUUAUAUCUGCUGACAGUCUCUCUGUCAGGUGUACACUUAAUUCCUCCAGAAUCUGCUUUUAUCUUUUACACAAAACACAACUGCUCUUAUUACAGCCUCUACUGGCUGUUAGCCAGAUCUUAGAACCAAUAUUUCUCCCUCAUCUUCUUUGACCUGUUCAUCUUGCUUCUCUGCUCAUCCUCCCCUGUGACUCAUUUCUCUGUAACUUCAUCUUAAUAGAGAUGAUUCACACAUGUGUACUCUAGACCUAUCUGCUUCUCUCUAGGCUAAGACCUACCCAAGAAGAUAGCUAAAAUAUUUUCAUCAUCUCUCUCCCCACACCUUCCUUUGAUAUUUACACUGCUAUUUUUUUUCUAAUCCUCUCCUUUGCAACUAAGAUCCUUCUGGAGGUCUUUUUGCCUAGAUUUGUCUAAAUAUUACAGUGACUAUCAGAAAAAUAUGUCUAAGAUCUUUGCUGUCUAAAUUUUCAACAAAAGAAUCCAACUCUUUCAGAUACAAACCAUUCUGCAUAACUUCUUCUCCUUUGAUUAGUAUUACCGGUCAUAUCCAUUCUGAAAGCUGCAGUAAAAUACUUCCUGCUGAGACGUCACAUAGUUCGGUGUAUUCCUCCCCUUUCUCACUUUUCUCUCUUAUAAUAAAAUAAAAUCUGCUUGUCGUCACCACAGAAGCUCCUACCAACAACUCCACAGAACCCUUAAUAUUUUUUAUUUAAGACUCUGGUGCCAGAUCUGCACUCUGUCUAAUCCUUCCAAAGUGUUUGUUGCUCAGAAACUGGCUGAGCAUCAGUUCAUUGCUGGGAGGUUUUGCUUUUGCAUCACUUGUUCUUCCAUUUAUUUAUUUAUUUAUUUAUUUAUUUAUUUCAUGUGUUGAAGAGUCUUCAUCACAACCCACAAUUUUUUCUCACUUUUGCUCUUCCAAUUUUUCUCCCCACAUCCCAUUGUGGAGGAAUGACUGGUGGGGGCUUAGUUGCUUGCCAGGGUCAACCUACCACAUGUGAAGAAGAAAGCUGAGUGUUUCCCUAAUGCAGGCCUAUUAGGAUUCCUGCAACUUUCAGCUGUUUGAUGUCAGCAGUGUAUUUCCAACUAGGAAAACCUGACAUAAUUUGAACUAGCUUGUAGUGUAAGCUUGAGUAUUCCAAACACUAGUUGUGAAAAGCUUUUCUCACUUUUAGUUUCAAAUUCUCAGAUAUUAGAGCUUCACAUUUCAGUACCUGCUAUUCCAGAUGCUCAGAAUGAACCAGUGACCUAUUUGGAGCAUACUGGAGGGCUAACCACAUCCCUGCUUCAUCCUUUUUAUUUUAUUUUAUUUUAUUUUAUUUUAUUUUAUUUUAUUUUAUUUUAUUUUAUUUUAUUUUAUUUUAUUUUUCUUCUUAUUUUGAAAAGCCUCCUGUGGUGGUAGAAACAAGUAGCAGAAAGUAAAACUAUGUUGUAAAAACUACUGUUGUUUUCCAUCUUCACCUAAAUGUUAAUGUCACAGAAGUAGUAAAGCAGACACUUCCAAAAUUAUGCACAUUUACCCAACAUUAAAUGAAAAAAAUCUGUUGAUAUUUGAGCUGGUUCAAACACACUGAAGUUCAUCAUGGGUGACUGGUUUUUCUACAUUCCUGUUUUCCAACACUGAGAUAUAUGCUUGCCAUAAAAAGCAUAAAAAUAAUAGAAAUAGCAGAAUGAGAAAAUAACUUGUAGCACGUAAAGUGUCUGAACUAUCAAGUUGGUUAACCACAUGAAGGGUUUAACUUACAUCUUCUGUACACUAUUAUCAAGACAAAAAUCAGAGCAGAAAUGAACUGGGUUUAAACCAGUCAGUAAGUUAAAUUUUACCACAUGUACAGCAAAUAAUUUCUGGCAGGUGGCAGGUACUGGAAAAUAAAAUAUUAAUCAUUUUGGCCAAAUGAGUUUGCCAAGUAAUUGCCAAACUGUGUGGCCUCAACUGUCAGGAGCAGCUUUUCAAGCAAUAAACACACUAAGAUAAUAAUUUAAUAACAAAACAAAAUGAAUCCAUGUUUUACAGGCAGUUGUCCAAAAGACAACUCCAGCAGUAGAAUUAAUAACACUGUCAUGACUGGUUGCAAGUACACAAGCAAGUCCUAUCAAAUGCUAUUGAAUUAUCCAGGUAAAGAAGAAUAAUGCAAAUUUUAUAUCAGCUUUUGAGUGAAGUGUUACAAUAAAAUAAAUGAAUGUAACAGAUUACAAUGUACAAAAGGCUUACUUAACUUUAUUUUGUAAGAUAGUAAUCAUAAUCACACUAUAACACAAGCUACUGCCAUCAUACAAAUAUAAGCUUAAUACACUCUAUGAUAUAACUAAAUAAGUGUGUCAGUAUUUUACUUUUGUUUCCAAAAUAUUGGUACAGGAAAUUUCAGGAGCUGAUUUGUGUAGCAUCUUAGCAAAUUUGAGUUUUAUGUAUGUGGGGAACUAGCUUUCCUAGUCAUAAAAAUCUUCCCUUAAGAUUGAACGUAAGUUAUCAUUUUUUCUGUCAGUGACAAUUUUAGUGAUUUUGUUGAAGAUACUUCCAGAAAGGAAGCUCUGGACUUUGUUACAGCCACAUCAGUUAUGUCAACUCAAAGGCAAUUUCUGGGCCAAUUUCUUGAGUAAGGUCUGUCUGCUUACAUGAUUUAUGCAGCAAGUGCUUAUUCCAGGAUGAGAAAGGAGAGUAAAUAUGGAAGAAAAAAAGCCCACAAAGAUAAGUUUAUACGUUCUGACACAGAAAACUCUUCUGCUAUCUCAAAACUUGGAGUCUGACUUUGUCUUCAUUGCAAUCAUUUUUACAAACUUCUGGCUAUAAAGAUUUCCUUUGUGGGAGAAAUGUCAUGAUUACAAAGAAAUCCAAAUCAGUCCAAGAUCAUUUUGCCAAUUGUUUUGCUAUGCAGACAAAAUAGAAAUCUCGUGAAUCUCAGCAAUAUCUUUAAGGUGGAAAAUUCUCGGCUGGAUCAAGGUCAUAAUUCUAUGAACUCUGCUUUGGGGGCUGUUAAUUAAAAAGUCUUUGGCUAAAACCACAUUGAGAGGAAGAACUGGAAUCCAGGACUCAUCCUUCUAGCAGAGUGUGCUUAUUUGCAGAUGCCAGAGUCUGCAGUCUGUGUUCUUCACUAGGCCACCAAAUAUGUCCAGCCUUUAGCAGGAAGACGGAACAAAAUAUCCAAUACAGAGGUUAAUUUCAUCCACUUCUGACAAGACUUUCCUGUUCAGAAAAGAAGGAUUAAUAAACCACAGUCACUCACUGUCUAACCACUAGUCUGAUAGAGAAAAGGCUGGGUCCCACUGGAAUCUGAGUUCAAAAUGUGUAGAAGAUGACAGAGUGUACAUGAGUUUCUCAGCUUAUAGUCAUGAAGCAAACACAGACCUGGACAGUGGGAUAGUUUAUUUUCGGUGAGGAGAAACUGACAAAAGCUGCUCUACCGCUCUAAUGUUCCAGAGUCUAGAUCCCUCAACAGUCCAACCAGCAUCCUUGCUUGACAGAGAUGGGUGAGCAGUCACUCCUUGGCUGCAUUUCUAGGCUGGAUUGAGGCAGCAGGGAGAUGACUGUGCAGUGGGGAUACAGCCGAUGCUGGUUCUCGGGUACUUCCUGCCCAGCAGUGGGAGGAAGAUGAAAG